UGUGCUUCAAGUUCUGCUGGAGAUGCUAAUAUGCUAAGCAUUUUGGGAAGAAGGACAGAUGUUCGGGAUGCAAAUGCCCUUUUUCAGGAUACGCUUGGAUUUGGUCAAAAUGAUUCUCAAAAUUUUGCUAAUAGCAGUGCAGUUUCAGUGAGAACUGAACAUUCUCAGAUCAGUCCCCAGAUGGCCCCCUCCUGGUUUGAUCAGUAUGGUGCCUUUAAAAAUGGGCAGAUAUUACCAUUACAUGAUGCACGGAGAAAUGUCACCGUAAAGACUAUGGAACUUCCUUUCACUGUUGGAAGGCCUUCCAAUAGUUUGCAUGCUCAUGGUCCAGUGGAGCAAGAAAAUGUGAUUGCUGCUGAUGCUAGUCGGCAUAGUCUUCUCCAAAAGGGUUCAACCCCCUCACCACUCUCUUCCCCUCAGUUAAUGCAUCUUGAUACUGUUGAUGUGAGCUUGGCUGCUGUGAGACCAA
This 469-nucleotide unclassified non-coding RNA is filed under the name Hevea brasiliensis (rubber tree). Lineage: Eukaryota; Viridiplantae; Streptophyta; Magnoliopsida; Malpighiales; Euphorbiaceae. The record is from RNAcentral.